RNAcentral lists this ribosomal RNA (433 nucleotides) under uncultured bacterium. RNAcentral describes it as "partial 16S ribosomal RNA". It matches the Rfam family "Bacterial small subunit ribosomal RNA", at positions 29 to 507 of the family's 1533-position model. The record is from RNAcentral.
AACGAACGCUGGCGGCAUGCCUAACACAUGCAAGUCGAACGAUACCUCCCGUUCUUGUGUCGCACGUGUGCGUGACGCGUGGGAACCUGCCCAUAGGGUCGGUAUACCUCCCCGUUAGGGGUGCUAAUACCGGAUAAUUUCUUCUGACCCAGGAUAUACCGCCUUUGGCUGGGCCGGCGUUGGGUUAGCUUGUUGGUAGGGUAAAAGCCUACCUCGGCGCCGAUCCAGAGCUGGUCGGAGAGGAGGAACAGCCACACUGGGACGGAGACACGGCCGAGACUCCUACGGGAGGCAGGAGGGGGGAAUAUUGGACAAUGGGCGAGAGACUGAUGGAGCACUGCCGCGUGAGAGAUGAAGGCGUUAGGGUUGUAAAGCUGUUUUGCCCGGGAGGAUAAUGACGGUACCGGGAGAAUAAGCGCCGGCUAACUACGUG